This 440-nucleotide long non-coding RNA is filed under the name Salvia miltiorrhiza (redroot sage). RNAcentral describes it as "long non-coding RNA (SMIL_LNC009538)". The record is from RNAcentral. Lineage: Eukaryota; Viridiplantae; Streptophyta; Magnoliopsida; Lamiales; Lamiaceae.
UUUAUUGAGGGUUGUAAUGUAGGCUCUUUGGUAGGAUAGGAUAUAUUUGGCUAAGUGACUAAUACAUACAACUCAACGUAGCACAAUCACCAACCUUAUAGCAUUCUUACUCAACACAAUCUUCCACCUCCCAUAAAACCAAAAUUUUCAAUGCAAAAUCCAUCACAACUCAUCAAUUAUUCCUCAUGACAUUAUGACUUUCUAAAGCAUCCUAUGUACCCUUUUUUUUUCCUUUUCUUUUCUUUUUUUUUCUUUUUUUUUCAUAUUUUUUUUUCAAACAAGUCAGGGUACUAGGAUUUUUCAAUCAAGAUAAAAAAAACAUAACUCAUGAUCAUUCAUCUCCACAAACCAACUUUCCCAUUUCAACAAUUUCCAAGCUCCCACCCAAGGCUAAAUCAAAGAAUAUGGAUAAUAAGGCUCAAAAGGGGUGAACUAGGAUC